AUAAUGCAAUAUAGCCAGGACAGCCUUACAGAGUCGCAGCGCUUUGUGUUGCGUUGCUUCGCAACUCCGGGUUUACCCACCUCUAAUUUUACCACUACAGCACUGGUAGUAAUAAUAUGCUAUGAUGAGAAUGUAUCUCUCUGCUCCAGAGCAAUUAUAAUUCAGGAGGUUUGAAGAAACAUUAAGUGGAUUUGAAUUCUUCUAUUGGGAUUCAUUUUGACGACGCACCUCGGAGAGACCGGACACCAAUUCCUUACAACGUCUGGUUAAGAUAUCAAACCAGAUUCACUACCCUUUGUCCCCUGCUUUGUGUCUACAGUUCUUGUUGGUACAUUAUGGGGACCUGAUACGCUUUAACUGGUGACAAGUGCCAACAGCUCCUCUGAUUACCAACUCCUACAGAGUUACCGCCUCUCAGUGUCUCGCUGCUGCCACCGUCAAUGGGGCGGUUAUUAAAUUGCAUUGUUGUGUCCUGCAUGUGGAGGGGUUUACAUUAAACAUAAAUCACAUACAAAUUAUUGUUCAUCAAUUCCAAAAUAUUACUUACAAUUAUGAUGAUGAAAUCAAAGUAAAAGCUUACUACAGUCCCUCCAAAAUUACAAUUACAAUUCAACAACCAAAAAUGCAAAAGAUACAUCUGUACAUCUUUUAAUGUUUUUAAGACCGUGGUAAGUUGAGUAGCAGGUAACGCUUAGCAUGACCACUUCAUCACAAGCAUGGCAAAGAACUACUGGCCCAUCAGGUAACGUCCAACGCAAAAUACCUUCUUUACAGCCACUGUCCAUUUCUUUUCUCUUGAGCUACCGUAGCAAAUUGGCAGUGUAGCUCAAUGGUGAACACUAAACGGCAAAAUGUAACCUUACAGCAACACUUCUGCCUAUAAAUCUCCUGUAAUGCUACAAACUGGCACAUAGUCAUCGUAGUAUGAACAGGGCUCACACAGCUUACACACACUACGAUGGUGAUGAUGGCCGCAGCCCUCAAACUGAGAAGAAAUAAAUGGGAUUCAACAGGUAAUCUUCUGCUGUAGAAAGCAGAAGGUGUAUAGUUGAGCCCAGCGAUGUCUAAGGAGUGAAGAAGCAGCAGUGAGACUUUCCUCACCUGACUGGAGAUGUCGGCUGCAGCGUUGGAAGUGUCUGCAGGUGGGGCAGAUGAAGCAUCGUUCGUGUGGCCAGCGCUCAUCGAGGGGAAUCAUUUCUCUUAUCCAUACAGCUGAUUCAUGAAGAGCUUCCUGUUUACUGACAAUCUGUUUAUUAAAAACUAAACAUUUUUUUCAAACAAAAAAUGGAACUCAGGAUAUUAAACAUGUAUUGAUAACCGGGCCCAGGCCUCGUGAACCUGCCAGUAACAGACACAAACGUUCUUCUGUCAGUAGCUCCUAACAGACGCAUUCCCUUUAGUGCUUAUUUCCCUUCUCCAACACCAUCGGGAAGUCGACACUAACAGUGUAAAGGGGAUGUAGCUCAGCUAAAUGACCUGUAAAGGAAUAAAAGCAUCAAUUGCUGCACCAUUAUUUAAAACCAAAGCACACACAAUG
Long non-coding RNA from Gasterosteus aculeatus aculeatus (three-spined stickleback), 1537 nucleotides. NCBI's taxonomy places the organism in Eukaryota, Metazoa, Chordata, Actinopteri, Perciformes, Gasterosteidae. The record is from Ensembl.